ACGGGUGAGUAACGCGUGGGAACGUGCCCUUCGGUUCGGAAUAACUCAGGGAAACUUGAGCUAAUACCGGAUACGUGCGAGAGCAGAAAGGUUUAUCUGCCGAAGGAUCGGCCCGCGUCUGAUUAGCUAGUUGGUGAGGUUAUGGCUCACCAAGGCGACGAUCAGUAGCUGGUCUGAGAGGAUGAUCAGCCACACUGGGACUGAGACACGGCCCAGACUCCUACGGGAGGCAGCAGUGGGGAAUAUUGGACAAUGGGGGCAACCCUGAUCCAGCCAUGCCGCGUGAGUGAUGACGGCCUUAGGGUUGUAAAGCUCUUUUCUCCGGGACGAUAAUGACGGUACCGGAGGAAUAAGCCCCGGCUAACUUCGUGCCAGCAGCCGCGGUAAUACGAAGGGGGCUAGCGUUGCUCGGAAUCACUGGGCGUAAAGGGCGCGUAGGCGGCUGAUUUAGUCGAGGGUGAAAGCCCGUGGCUCAACCACGGAAUGGCCUUCGAUACUGGUUGGCUUGAGACCGGAAGAGGACGGCGGAACUGCGAGUGUAGAGGUGAAAUUCGUAGA
This 558-nucleotide ribosomal RNA is filed under the name uncultured bacterium. Its description in RNAcentral is "bacterial SSU rRNA". It matches the Rfam family "Bacterial small subunit ribosomal RNA", at positions 102 to 694 of the family's 1533-position model. The record is from RNAcentral.